UCCUGUCUCUACCCAUGGAGAUAUUAAUUCUUAGAGGAUUUGUCUAUUUUUUCCACUAGGACCUGGACCUAGCCCCUGGGAAAGAGUGCAGGUGGGUUAAAAAGACUUUGAGGAGUAGCAGGGUGAGGGGAGCUGGUGCCAUUGAAUCACAUCCACACAUUAGUUCAAUGUAUGCAAAGCAGGCAGCGGGGUGCUGGGUCCAGAGUAUGCAUUCAAUAAAUAUUGGCUAAUUAUGAUUAUUAUGUCUAAUUAACAGGACGGUUGUGAGGAUCAAGCAGGAUAAUGUAUGCUAACCCAUGCUGUGAACGCUGCGUGCUGGGUGCAGAGAAUGGUGGAGGCCCCACAGUGGGUGUGAUGCCACUUUACCAACAGCGACCUUGGAGGUGACCUCUGUGGAAAGUGCCAUGGACCAGCCAAUGUGAGUUGUGGCUAGUGCUACUGUUUGGGGCUUGGGUGGUUGGUGGAUGGAUAUUUACUGAAUUCUUAAACCUGAAUGGAUAUGUAAGUAAAGUCAAAGGUGACCAUGCCCAGGACAGUGAUGAGACAGUCAUGAAUCUAGAGUGAUAAGUCCAAGUAGACACAACAAGUCACCAAAUUAAAAAGAAAAAAACAUUAGGCUGUUCUCUGUGUAGGAAAUAGCAA
This 642-nucleotide long non-coding RNA is filed under the name Ictidomys tridecemlineatus (thirteen-lined ground squirrel). RNAcentral's name for it is "lncRNA (ENSSTOG00000033287.1)". Lineage: Eukaryota; Metazoa; Chordata; Mammalia; Rodentia; Sciuridae. The record is from RNAcentral.